RNAcentral lists this ribosomal RNA (379 nucleotides) under uncultured eukaryote. Its description in RNAcentral is "partial 18S ribosomal RNA". It matches the Rfam family "Eukaryotic small subunit ribosomal RNA", at positions 592 to 975 of the family's 1831-position model. The record is from RNAcentral.
CAAUAGCGUAUGUUAAAGUUGUUGCGGUUAAAAAGCUCGUAGUUGGAUUUCUGCUGAGAACGACCGGUCCGCCCUCUGGGUGUGUAUCUGGCUCUUUCUUGGCAUCUUCUUGGUGAACGUUGCUGCACUUGACUGUGUGGAGCGCUACCCAGGACUUUUACUUUGAGGAAAUUAGAGUGUUUCAAGCAGGCAUACGCCUUGAAUACAUUAGCAUGGAAUAAUAAGAUAGGACCUCGGUUCUAUUUUGUUGGUUUCUAGAGCUGAGGUAAUGAUUAAUAGGGAUAGUUGGGGGCAUUCGUAUUUAACUGUCAGAGGUGAAAUUCUUGGAUUUGUUAAAGACGGACUACUGCGAANGNAUUUGCNAAGGAUGUUUNCAUUG